ACAGACGAGGAGCUUGCUUCUCUGACGUUAGCGGCGGACGGGUGAGUAACACGUGGAUAACCUACCUAUAAGACUGGGAUAACUUCGGGAAACCGGAGCUAAUACCGGAUAAUAUAUUGAACCGCAUGGUUCAAUAGUGAAAGACGGUUUUGCUGUCACUUAUAGAUGGAUCCGCGCCGCAUUAGCUAGUUGGUAAGGUAACGGCUUACCAAGGCAACGAUGCGUAGCCGACCUGAGAGGGUGAUCGGCCACACUGGAACUGAGACACGGUCCAGACUCCUACGGGAGGCAGCAGUAGGGAAUCUUCCGCAAUGGGCGAAAGCCUGACGGAGCAACGCCGCGUGAGUGAUGAAGGUCUUCGAAUCGUAAAACUCUGUUAUUAGGGAAGAACAAAUGUGUAAGUAACUAUGCACGUCUUGACGGUACCUAAUCAGAAAGCCACGGCUAACUACGUGCCAGCAGCCGCGGUAAUACGUAGGUGGCAAGCGUUAUCCGGAAUUAUUGGGCGUAAAGCGCGCGUAGGCGGUUUUUUAAGUCUGAUGUGAAAGCCCACGGCUCAACCGUGGAGGGCCAUUGGAAACUGAAAAACUUGAGUGCAGAAGAGGAAAGUGGAAUUCCAUGUGUAGCGGUGAAAUGCGCAGAGAUAUGGAGGAACACCAGUGGCGAAGGCGACUUUCUGGUCUGUAACUGACGCUGAUGUGCGAAAGCGUGGGGAUCAAA
RNAcentral lists this ribosomal RNA (720 nucleotides) under uncultured Staphylococcus sp. Its description in RNAcentral is "bacterial SSU rRNA". It matches the Rfam family "Bacterial small subunit ribosomal RNA", at positions 69 to 772 of the family's 1533-position model. The record is from RNAcentral. Lineage: Bacteria; Bacillati; Bacillota; Bacilli; Caryophanales; Staphylococcaceae.